UUUUGUUGGUCUUUCCCUCCCGGUGGGAAUGCGCAGGCGUGCACACUGCCGGCCUUCUGGCCGGUCUGGGUGCCGUCUCUUCGAGAUCAAUAGGGGCAAACGGGGAGAUACCUAUUGUGGGGAGAGCGGUGAAAUGCGAUGACCCCCAUAAGAGGAACUUCAGCGAAAGCAGUUCUCAAGACUGCCUUCGUUAAUCAAGAACGAGACUGUGGGGAUCAAAGAUGAUCAGAUACCGUCGUAGUCCACUAGCGUAAACGAUGCCGACUCAUCAUUGGGGGGCAUCUCUAACAAGCGCCCCCCAGUGGUUCUCCCCCCUGUAAGAGAAAUCUAAGUUUAUGGGCUCAGGGGGGAGUAUGGCUGCAAGGCUGAAACUUGAAGGAAUUGACGGAAUGACACCACCAGGCGUGGGGUCUGUGGUUUAAUUUGACUCAACACGGCAACCUUGUUACGACUUA
Molecule: ribosomal RNA, 455 nt
Filed under: uncultured marine eukaryote
Lineage: Eukaryota
Description: bacterial SSU rRNA
Rfam family: Eukaryotic small subunit ribosomal RNA
Source: RNAcentral